UUUGAUUUAGGGUCUUCUACCCCAAACACACAAGAAUAGGUGUUCAUCAAUUUUUUUUGUUUAGGUUUUGUUAUUUUCUUUCUCAAUGGGAUUUUCUGAGUGGGUUAUGAUUAUGAAGGAUUGUUAUUUUGUGUAUUUGGUACGUUGUUGAGGGUGAACCUUGGUUUAUUUUUUGAAGAUUUGGACUUGUUGUUAUUAUUGGAAUAUUUUGGUCAAACAGAUAUGUUUUGCUUGUGUUUUUUUGUAUUUUUCUUUUUUUUUUUUGGAAUAUUUUUCGAAGGUCGUGGUAAGCAGGGUGAUUGAAACCUAUUUUUUGA
RNAcentral lists this long non-coding RNA (317 nucleotides) under Vigna radiata. RNAcentral describes it as "long non-coding RNA (VRAD_LNC015757)". Lineage: Eukaryota; Viridiplantae; Streptophyta; Magnoliopsida; Fabales; Fabaceae. The record is from RNAcentral.